This 370-nucleotide unclassified non-coding RNA is filed under the name uncultured Gammaproteobacteria bacterium. RNAcentral describes it as "contains 16S-23S intergenic spacer region". The record is from RNAcentral. Lineage: Bacteria; Pseudomonadati; Pseudomonadota; Gammaproteobacteria.
UCCGGUUUGUCACCGGCAGUCUCCCUAGAGUGCCCUUGCGUAGCAACUAGGGACAAGGGUUGCGCUCGUUGCGGGACUUAACCCAACAUCUCACGACACGAGCUGACGACAGCCAUGCAGCACCUGUGUUCCGAUUCCCGAAGGCACCCCCGUAUCUCUACAGGGUUCCUGGGAUGUCAAGACCAGGUAAGGUUCUUCGCGUUGCAUCGAAUUAAACCACAUGCUCCACCGCUUGUGCGGGUCCCCGUCAAUUCCUUUGAGUUUUAAUCUUGCGACCGUACUCCCCAGGCGGUCAACUUCACGCGUUAGCUGCGGUACUGAGAAAUCGCUUCCCCAACAACCAGUUGACAUCGUUUAGGGCGUGGACUAC